CUGGCGAGCCAUGUUGUUUUUAUCAUCCACUACAAACCUGCAUAGUAACAGGACACACCUCUCCUAGCUAUGUGCAUUUGUAAGCCAAUCACUAUUGAGUUUCAGGUGUGACGUCGUUUUUGUUGACACUUCCAUUAGCUGGCCACCUGCGAAACGUCACUGCAGCAGCGCGCGCCCGUGACCCUCGACGUCCACCCUGCGUUUUCUGCCUGGAAACAAACAUCUCGAGCUAAUCGGAGCUGUGGAAAAAACGUUAGAUACCAGUGGUUGGAGGCUGCGUGGGGAAAUGGGCUCGGAUCAAAGUACCAGUUCAGCUGCUGACCAGCGACAGAGGAAUCCAGGCAAUCUGCCAUCCCAAGGUGAAGCAUCUUCAUCCAGUAUCCAAACUGAUACUGGUCCUGAGCGCCAAGAUCAUCUGGAUCCAGACACAGACCUGCCUCAAUGCCGAAUAGGCACCAGAAAGGUAGACGACAUGAGCUUCAU
Rhinichthys klamathensis goyatoka is the source of this 483-nucleotide long non-coding RNA. RefSeq lists it as uncharacterized. The transcript has 2 exons. NCBI's taxonomy places the organism in Eukaryota, Metazoa, Chordata, Actinopteri, Cypriniformes, Leuciscidae. The record is from RefSeq and is a predicted model, not a curated record.